This is a long non-coding RNA of Equus quagga, 721 nucleotides long. RefSeq lists it as uncharacterized. NCBI's taxonomy places the organism in Eukaryota, Metazoa, Chordata, Mammalia, Perissodactyla, Equidae. The record is from RefSeq and is a predicted model, not a curated record. The transcript is spliced from 3 exons.
UUUAUCUGAUCAAAGAUUGUAAUUUACCACAUUUGCAUGUAUUUCAUUCACAAAGAACAGACCUAAAUUUGUUUUGAAUCUAAUCAAAUGUCAAUGGUGCCUGAAACACUCUUAGACAGAUUAAAUAGCAAUACUCUAUGAAGAAUGUAAGAAACUGCAAGUAUUUUCCCCCAUGACACUAAACAUGCUUAAAAAGAGAAGAAAAGAAACAGAAAGAAAAAAAACCAACAGCAUAAAAACAAGAACCCAAAGAACUCAUGUGGAAAAUAGAGCCUGUAACUCACCCAUCAAUCCAAAGAGGAAGAAUGUGUUUCUUGAUCAGAUCCAAUAUUGCUUCAAGCCAUGUCCAAAAGAUGAGAGAGUCUUCUGUAUGGUCAGCCACAAAUAAGAUUGUUUGUACCAGAAACUGGGUCAACAAUAGCGGAACAGAAGACUUUGUCUCAGAUUACUGGAAAGCAAAAGGUGUGAAAGCCAAGAAAGAUGUUCAAAGAAGAGCAGGAGGGGAAGCAUUGAGAAUCUAGAGCAGCACGGUGGGAAGGCCUGUGGCAAACAUGGAUGAAGCUGGGCAGCAAGAAAAGGAACCAAUUCAAAGGAUUUCAGAAGGACCAUCUCAGGCCAACCCUACUCCUCCAAUCCUGGUGUCUACAGUGUCCUUAUCACUGAAAUGACUUGUGAAGACACUGGAACUUUCUGAGUAUAUAUGAGUCAAGGAGGAAAGAAG